Molecule: ribosomal RNA, 496 nt
Filed under: uncultured bacterium
Lineage: Bacteria
Description: partial 16S ribosomal RNA
Rfam family: Bacterial small subunit ribosomal RNA
Source: RNAcentral
AUGAACGCUGGCGGCGUGCCUAAUACAUGCAAGUCGAGCGAACAGACGAGGAGCUUGCUCCUCUGACGUUAGCGGCGGACGGGUGAGUAACACGUGGAUAACCUACCUAUAAGACUGGGAUAACUUCGGGAAACCGGAGCUAAUACCGAAUAAUAUAUUGAACCGCAUGGUUCAAUAGUGAAAGACGGUUUUGCUGUCACUUAUAGAUGGAUCCGCGCCGCAUUAGCUAGUUGGUAAGGUAACGGCUUACCAAGGCGACGAUGCGUAGCCGACCUGAGAGGGUGAUCGGCCACACUGGAACUGAGACACGGUCCAGACUCCUACGGGAGGCAGCAGUAGGGAAUCUUCCGCAAUGGGCGAAAGCCUGACGGAGCAACGCCGCGUGAGUGAUGAAGGUCUUCGGAUCGUAAAACUCUGUUAUUAGGGAAGAACAAAUGUGUAAGUAACUAUGCACGUCUUGACGGUACCUAAUCAGAAAGCCACGGCUAACUACGUG